CAGUCGCCACGGUAAUACAGAGGGUGCAAGCGUUAAUCGGAAUUACUGGGCGUAAAGCGCGCGUAGGUGGUUUGUUAAGUUGGAUGUGAAAUCCCCGGGCUCAACCUGGGAACUGCAUCCAAAACUGGCAAGCUAGAGUAUGGUAGAGGGUGGUGGAAUUUCCUGUGUAGCGGUGAAAUGCGUAGAUAUAGGAAGGAACACCAGUGGCGAAGGCGACCACCUGGACUGAUACUGACACUGAGGUGCGAAAGCGUGGGGAGCAAACAGGAUUAGAUACCCGUGUAGUCCCUGUCUCUUAUAA
Molecule: ribosomal RNA, 301 nt
Filed under: uncultured bacterium
Lineage: Bacteria
Description: partial 16S ribosomal RNA
Rfam family: Bacterial small subunit ribosomal RNA
Source: RNAcentral